GGCUUGAUAGUGCAAGUGGUAUGCAUGUCUGUUUAUGGCGAAUAUUUAGCUUGAUAUGUUCUCAUGGGUAGAAAGCUCUCGGUUCGAGUCCGGGUCGAAUUG
Stereum hirsutum FP-91666 SS1 is the source of this 102-nucleotide non-coding RNA. Lineage: Eukaryota; Fungi; Basidiomycota; Agaricomycetes; Russulales; Stereaceae. The record is from the annotation of a RefSeq genome assembly.